This 304-nucleotide ribosomal RNA is filed under the name Rhodococcus pyridinivorans. RNAcentral describes it as "bacterial SSU rRNA". It matches the Rfam family "Bacterial small subunit ribosomal RNA", at positions 1029 to 1332 of the family's 1533-position model. The record is from RNAcentral. Lineage: Bacteria; Bacillati; Actinomycetota; Actinomycetes; Mycobacteriales; Nocardiaceae.
GGUAGACAGGUGGUGCAUGGCUGUCGUCAGCUCGUGUCGUGAGAUGUUGGGUUAAGUCCCGCAACGAGCGCAACCCUUGUCCUGUGUUGCCAGCACGUGAUGGUGGGGACUCGCAGGAGACUGCCGGGGUCAACUCGGAGGAAGGUGGGGACGACGUCAAGUCAUCAUGCCCCUUAUGUCCAGGGCUUCACACAUGCUACAAUGGUCGGUACAGAGGGCUGCGAUACCGUGAGGUGGAGCGAAUCCCUUAAAGCCGGUCUCAGUUCGGAUCGGGGUCUGCAACUCGACCCCGUGAAGUCGGAGU